CCAAGCACAAAACCUCUCUGUGUAUCUUCUCUGUACUACUCUGAACAUUGUCGCCCACUGAAGCUAAGCAGGGCAGCACCCAGUCAGUACCUGGAUGGGAGACCACAUGGAAAAGCUAGGUUGCUGCCGGAA
Molecule: ribosomal RNA, 132 nt
Filed under: Danio rerio (zebrafish)
Lineage: Eukaryota; Metazoa; Chordata; Actinopteri; Cypriniformes; Danionidae
Source: RNAcentral